ACCUUAACAUCAUAAGUGGAAUAUAUUGCUCGCUAUUGCUUCUCUUUUAACUGUUUCAACUGAUUCUUUUUCAGCUUGGAAAGAACAAGAUGAACAGACCCACCUUCAAUCUGAUGCUUGAUGAGGAAAAAGGCUGUUUUGUUGGAGCCAAGGAGUCAUGAAAGAAACCCAAGAAGACAACUUGGACAGCGAGCAGAAGAUAAAAAGCAAACAGAAAGAAUGUGGCAUACAAAGGGUGUAAUACCUGGAGGUAUCGGAGCUGACUCAUAUUUAUAAAAAAAAAUGAGACGAGCUUUCACCAAGUACAAGUUCUCUUAAGCCAGUCCUCGAGCUGGGAGCCAUGCUGGGGAACUAGGAAUUCUCCUUCUCCCCCCUCCUCCUUUCUGACAGGGAACGAAAGGAUUGGCGAAUUAUGAUUUGCCCAAGUCGGAAGCACUAAUUUUUUUCCUCUCUAGAGUUCGUCCUUAUGAAUAGAUAAGGAGUUUAAACCUUGCAUAUUUAAUGUGGACUGUGGUGGGAGAGUGACUCGUUGAACCAAAAUGGCCACUGGGAAGGACUUGGUUUCAAACUGAGCUCGGAGCCUCCCGAUGCACUUUGUCCGAUUCGGGAUCAGCCGUGCUGCAGGGCCUGCUCUGGGAGGCCAGGAUGACAUGUAGGAGAAGGAGAUCCCCCUCCUGCUGAUAUCUCUGGAGAC
This 694-nucleotide long non-coding RNA is filed under the name Lepidothrix coronata (blue-crowned manakin). RNAcentral's name for it is "lncRNA (ENSLCOG00000011402.1)". Lineage: Eukaryota; Metazoa; Chordata; Aves; Passeriformes; Pipridae. The record is from RNAcentral.